UACGAAGGGGGCUAGCGUUGCUCGGAAUCACUGGGCGUAAAGCGCACGUAGGCGGAUUGCUAAGUCAGGGGUGAAAUCCUGGAGCUCAACUCCAGAACUGCCCUUGAUACUGGGAGCCUUGAGUUCGGGAGAGGUGAGUGGAACUGCGAGUGUAGAGGUGAAAUUCGUAGAUAUUCGCAAGAACACCAGUGGCGAAGGCGGCUCACUGGCCCGAUACUGACGCUGAGGUGCGAAAGCGUGGGGAGCAAACAGG
Molecule: ribosomal RNA, 253 nt
Filed under: uncultured bacterium
Lineage: Bacteria
Description: partial 16S ribosomal RNA
Rfam family: Bacterial small subunit ribosomal RNA
Source: RNAcentral